CUCUCUCUUUCUCUCUCUCUCUAUAAAUAUCAUAGCUAUAAGACAUGUUCUUUUUUUCUCCUCUCCCUCUCUCUUUUUUUUUAUUCAUCGUCUCUUCGCCGACCAUACACCGGCGAAAUCGCUCUUUGGUUCCCGCCAGGGGCGCUCUUUCUCCUCGCCAUUUUUAUGCUCUGCAAAGGUUUGGUCUCUGCCUUUUCCUCUGUCGCUUUCUCUGGACGUGUUAUAGAAAACGUUUCUUCAAAGGCUUUAGAUCUGGCGGUUUUGCGUUUUUGAAGCUCAAUUUGAGUCUUUUUUCUCUGUUGAAGCCUGCAAUUUCGGUCUUUUCUCAUUUCAAUUUCUAUUCAAAGUGUUGUUAGGUGAUAAGUUGAUGAUACGUUCACAUUCUUUUUGUUCUGGUGGAUCUUGAUCUAUUGUUCUUGAUUUCAAGAUUUUUUUUAAUUUAAUGCUAAAUGUAUGUGAAUUCAAGUGUAAUGCAUGUAUUGAGAACAAAAAUAGCUAGGAAGUUUUCUUUCUCAAUUUUUAAGCUGUUAAACUUUCUUGAUUUGUCUGCAAACUCUGUAUUUUGGUCUUCAAUGGUUUAUCUGAAUUUUUUUUUUAAUUCAUAUUUUUGCUUCUAUAUCUGAUUGAAAAAUGUUUGCCCGUCUCAAAUUUCCUCUCUCUCUCUCUGAAGCUUCAUAAUGCAGUAUAAGGAGAAGAGUUUCUCUUUAUAAUUAUUUAUUUUUUAUUUCAAUUGAUGUUCUCUAAUAAUAGAGAGGCCUAGUCGAAUGGAUAAGAAGUAUUAAAUUUUCCUUAUAAAUAGCCUUUUUGGUACGUUAAGUUUCCAUUUUGAGCUUCCAAAUCUUUUGAGCUUGCCUUUUUCUAUUUCUGGUUUGUGUUUGAACAUUAGCAUCCUUAAAGCUGGACAUCUUCUCAUUGGUGAUAGAACCAAGUAGUUGGUGCAAUUUUCAAGGAUAGAAAGAUAUAAACAUAUGGAUGGGACUAAAGAGGUGGGACUUAGGAAUGUGAGCUCAACAUGUUCAAUCUCUGAAAUGGACGAUUUUGAUCUCUCUCGCCUACUGGACAAGCCGAGGCUGAACAUUGAGAGGCAGAGAUCAUUUGAUGAGAGGUCACUCAGUGAGCUCUCAAUUGGGCUCACCAGAGGCGGUCUUGAUUACUGUGAGAUCACUUAUUCCCCUGGAGGCAGGUCAGGAUUAGACACGCCAGUCUCAUCAGCUCGCAACUCUUUUGAGCCACACCCAAUGGUGGCUGAUGCCUGGGAAGCACUAAGACGGUCCAUAGUGUACUUCAGAGGCCAACCGGUUGGCACAAUUGCUGCAAUUGACCAUGCCUCAGAGGAGGUUUUGAACUAUGAUCAGGUUUUUGUUCGAGAUUUUGUGCCUAGUGCCCUGGCUUUUCUGAUGAAUGGUGAGCCUGAGAUAGUUAAGAACUUCCUUUUGAAGACACUACAUCUUCAAGGGUGGGAAAAGAGAAUAGAUAGAUUCAAGCUCGGGGAAGGGGUAAUGCCAGCUAGCUUUAAAGUUCUUCACGAUCCUGUUCGGAAAACAGAUACUCUUAUGGCAGAUUUUGGUGAGAGUGCAAUUGGAAGAGUGGCUCCUGUUGACUCUGGUUUCUGGUGGAUCAUUCUGCUGCGUGCAUAUACCAAGUCUACUGGAGAUUUGUCUCUGGCAGAGACUCCAGAGUGUCAAAAGGGGAUGAGGCUUAUAUUGACUCUGUGCUUGUCAGAGGGGUUUGAUACAUUCCCAACCCUUCUUUGUGCUGAUGGAUGCUCUAUGAUUGAUCGCAGAAUGGGCAUUUACGGUUAUCCUAUUGAAAUUCAAGCACUUUUUUUUAUGGCAUUAAGGUGUGCCUCGUCAAUGUUGAAACAUGAUACAGAAGGAAAAGAAUGUAUUGAGAGAAUUGUGAAACGUUUGCAUGCUUUGAGCUAUCACAUUCGAAGUUACUUCUGGUUAGACUUUCAACAACUAAAUGAUAUAUACAGAUAUAAAACUGAGGAGUACUCACACACUGCAGUAAAUAAGUUCAAUGUUAUUCCUGAUUCAAUCCCAGAUUGGGUAUUUGAUUUUAUGCCUACACGUGGUGGCUAUUUUAUCGGCAAUAUUAGUCCUGCAAGGAUGGACUUUCGAUGGUUUGCUUUAGGUAAUUGUGUUGCCAUUCUCUCGUCUCUUGCAACUCCGGAGCAAUCAAUGGCUAUCAUGGAUCUUAUAGAAUCUCGCUGGGAGGAGCUGGUUGGAGAAAUGCCUUUGAAAAUAGCUUAUCCUGCAAUAGAAAGCCAUGACUGGCGAAUAGUAACUGGUUGUGAUCCCAAGAACACGAGAUGGAGUUAUCAUAAUGGAGGAUCUUGGCCAGGUUUGUCCAUUUUCUCUCUCUAUUUAAACUGAAUAUCUCUCUAUUAAUAUGAUGUUCAUGCCGUUAGGAUAGCAUUCCUGUCAUGUUUCACCAGAGGUCUUAGAACAUUAUUUGGUGUUAUUUUGUUGAAUAGAGGCUAUUGAUGAAUUAUACAUAAAAUUUAUUGUAUUCAGCCUAGUUAUACCCUAGACAUUUUGGACUAAAAAGUUUAGGAAGUAUAUAUGUGGGCUCUACCUAUUUUACAUGUGGACCCCACCAUAUAACAUGUGUCUUAGGUCCAUGGAUUUGGUCUAGACAAGAAUUUGUUGUCAAGUGAUUACUUAAACUUUAUUUUAUUAGCAAAUGAAUCAUUUUUCCCUUAAAAAAAUACAGUGCUUUUAUGGCUGCUAACUGCUGCAUGCAUCAAAACUGGACGACCGCAAAUUGCAAGACGUGCAAUUGAUCUUGCUGAGACCCGUCUGCUGAAAGAUAGCUGGCCUGAAUAUUACGAUGGGAAACUUGGGAAAUUUAUCGGUAAACAGGCAAGGAAAUACCAGACGUGGUCGAUUGCUGGGUACUUGGUGGCAAAGAUGAUGCUGGAGGAUCCUUCACAUUUGGGAAUGAUUUCCCUGGAAGAGGACAAACAAAUGAAGCCAGUGAUUAAGAGAUCUUCUUCUUGGACUUGCUGAUUAAGAGAUCUUCUUCUUGGACUUGCUGAUGAAGAGAGGCAAACAAACAAGCAAGCAAGCAGGAUAAGUAGCAGAAAAAAUAGUAGGAAAAGAAAACGUAAAGUGAGAAAUGUUUGGUUUCGUUAUACAGCAUUAUUCUUUGCCGUUUGUUGUUGUAGGUCUGAUUUGAAAGUGUGGUUGUGUACAAUAGCUUCUGCUAAGAACUACUGUCUUGCUUUUCAAAUAAGAGAAACAUUUGAAUGGCAAUUUGGAAAUGCCAUCCUUAGUUUAUGUUAGCUUUUGACAGCAAAAAUGGAAUAAGAUUUAUCUUCAUCGCCAAGGACUUGAG
This 3342-nucleotide unclassified non-coding RNA is filed under the name Hevea brasiliensis (rubber tree). Lineage: Eukaryota; Viridiplantae; Streptophyta; Magnoliopsida; Malpighiales; Euphorbiaceae. The record is from RNAcentral.